RNAcentral lists this ribosomal RNA (253 nucleotides) under uncultured bacterium. RNAcentral describes it as "partial 16S ribosomal RNA". It matches the Rfam family "Bacterial small subunit ribosomal RNA", at positions 524 to 776 of the family's 1533-position model. The record is from RNAcentral.
UACGGGGGGUGCAAGCGUUGCUCGGAAUCACUGGGCGUAAAGCGUCCGCAGGCGGACUUGUGUGUCGGUCGUGAAAUCCCAGGGCUCAACCCUGGAACUGCGAUCGAAACUGCAAGUCUCGAGUACGGGAGAGGAAAGCGGAAUUCCUGGUGUAGAGGUGAAAUUCGUAGAUAUCAGGAGGAACACCGGUGGCGAAAGCGGCUUUCUGGCCCGAUACUGACGCUCAUGGACGAAAGCGUGGGGAGCAAACAGG